This is a long non-coding RNA of Gallus gallus (chicken), 2246 nucleotides long. Lineage: Eukaryota; Metazoa; Chordata; Aves; Galliformes; Phasianidae. The record is from Ensembl.
AUAAUUUGGAGCGAGACACACUGUAAAGACAGUUGCAUAGAGAAAGAGAAAAGUGACAUAUAAUUUAAUGAAAUGCCUCUGCAGCAGUCUUAUUCCCUUGGACUGUGCAGGUUAUAUAACAACAUAACCUCAGCAAUAUGGUAUGCAGUUAGCACAUCAGAUGGGGACUCAAAAUUCCUGUGGAGUAGACCAAACCCAAGCUAGAAUCACAUACUUAGUGAUUCACUGGGCAACAAAUUGAAGACUUUAUAAAUCCACCAUCUGACACCUCCAGGAGAUGCUUGUGUAUACAAUGUGGAAAUCGAUACUUGCAGAAUAUCUCUGCAGGAGGAGCUAUAGCAUCUCUGUAGAAAAAGUUAUCUUUUUUUUAUGGAAAGUUUUUCUACAGCUGGAAAUGCUUCAGGGCGAUGCAAGCCAAACAGUUACUGCGUGCUGGGGACUGUUUCCAGAAAUAUGGAGUUCUGGAUAUUUAUCACACAGAGCAGCUGAAGUGAUCUUUCAGGAAGGUCUGUAAUAGACUACAGAUAAGGACAUGUCUAGAAGAAUAAACCAUCACCUUUUCAUUUAAGAGAAAGCAUUUUAAAGAAGAAUACCUUCUUUUUCCAUCUGAUGGGAAGACAAGGAAUCUUUUUUCAUCGUUUCUGUUUUACUCGAGGUACAUGCAUGAAUUCCUGUUGAAUUCAGAAUUUUGGUGGCAGUUUGGCAACCCUGCACUAGAAGUGCAGUCAUUUUGUUCUCAGAAGGAAGAAGCCCUGCAGGGAUCUGUAAAGUGUGGACUUUGAGCCAUUUGAAGGUCAGACACCUAGUCUAAGCAGAUGCAAAACGAGGCUACAAUGAAUCCCUGUGUGGGGACAACCACUUCUUUUCACAACAGGCCAAUGCCAAGUACAUGUCCCAUGCAAGAAAUCAGGCAUGUCAAGACGUGAUGGAUUAGGUCUCUAGGGUUCUAUUGAGAAGGUCAAGGUCUGGACAGUAUGACACAAUCUAUGUAAUUCUGGGAGUUGAAAAGGUGGAAGAACAUGAUAGCUAGUGCUUUUAUGAGGAUAAAAUUCUCUAACACCUAAGCAAAGUAAUUAUGUCUAUUAUCAUAAUUUAUUUUUUCCAUUUUUACGUACCUGGUUGGUAAAUGAAGUGGUUCUUGCUAUGUGUAAUACUGACACUUUGAGGAAAUGCAUAUAUUCUUUAAGUAAUAUGCCCCUUGAUCUUGUGAAUUCUUGAACUAUGAACACAAGUGGAAAUCUAAAAUGAAAGUAAUGGGUGAUUAUUUUCCUGUGACUAUCUAUGAUUAUUUCAUUAAUGUUCUUUUCUGUCCUAAUCAAAUCUGAAUCCAGUAUUUUAACCAUUUUUAGUAUUUUUCUGAAAUUUUUAUCAUACCCUUAUCCUGGGCACACUCUCCAUCACACACAUUCCCCUGAGUUUGAGAGCAAUCAAUACAGCUGGCCAGGCUCUGUUGAAAGUACCCCAUGAAUUAUACUGGGGAGGAUCACCUGGGAGCCUGUGGUCAUUGGCGGGAGAGACCUGGGCAGGGAAAUUGCCUUGCCCUCAUCUUCAUCACGCUGUUGCAAAAUUAAUUCUACUGAGUUGUCAUUUUGCUUCCUCCCAUCCCCUCAUCAUCCCACAACUGGCUUCUCUUUUUAUGUCACAUCAAAUGGGAAGCACUUGACUUCACCUUGAAGGCCCUUCAAAGCUGCACCUUCCCUACAGAUCAUCUAUAAUUCACAGAAAGUGUCAUCUCUCAGCCCUUACAGGUCACUGAUGCCAGCUUCAGUGUUCGCUUGUUAACAUUUCAAAGGAGUACUUUCAUGUCUUCUCACAUGCUGCCUCCGAGGAGCUAGCUGCAAACCUCCAUGAAGCUGCUUCAUUAUCCUCCAUCAGACGCUGCUGAAAGCUCUUCCUGGCCGGGGUGCCUGUGACAGCCUCCAGACAAGGAGGUUGCUGCCAUGCUGUGCCUGCUGGCAGCUGUGCUGCCCACCCUGUGCCUCAUCACUCCCAUCUCCUCCCUACCUGGUUGUCUCUUCUCUCAAGUUGUCAGGUUUUUUUUUCCUUUGUUCCCCCUGACUGAGAUCCUGAUCUAUGACUCCUGAGCGCUGUGGUAACUGGCAAGAACAGAAAUGUGACUGGAGUUCAGUUAUUUAUGACUUUAUGACAGAAAGAUUUGGUUCAUUAUGAAAUUUAUCAAACAUAUGCUUUGUUUAGUAAGAUGUGUUUCUGUCCCAUUUGCUUUAAAUUAAGAGAGUGGAUGUUUG